RNAcentral lists this ribosomal RNA (477 nucleotides) under uncultured bacterium. RNAcentral's name for it is "partial 16S ribosomal RNA". It matches the Rfam family "Bacterial small subunit ribosomal RNA", at positions 30 to 507 of the family's 1533-position model. The record is from RNAcentral.
AUUGAACGCUGGCGGCAUGCCUUACACAUGCAAGUCGAACGGUAACAGGUUAAGCUGACGAGUGGCGAACGGGUGAGUAAUGUAUCGGAACGUGCCCAGUCGUGGGGGAUAACUGCUCGAAAGAGCAGCUAAUACCGCAUAGGACCUGAGGGUGAAAGCGGGGGGGCGCAAGACCUCGCGCGAUUGGAGCGGGCGAUUUCAGAUUCGGUAGUUGGUGAGGUAAAGGCUCACCAAGCCGACGAUCUGUAGCUGGUCUGAGAGGACGACCAGCCACACUGGGACUGAGACACGGCCCAGACUCCUACGGGAGGCAGCAGUGGGGAAUUUUGGACAAUGGGCGCAAGCCUGAUCCAGCCAUGCCGCGUGCGGGAAGAAGGCCUUCGGGUUGUAAACCGCUUUUGUCAGGGACGAAAAGGUUCUGGCUAAUACCUGGGACUCAUGACGGUACCUGAAGAAUAAGCACCGGCUAACUACGUG